RNAcentral lists this long non-coding RNA (1128 nucleotides) under Ictidomys tridecemlineatus (thirteen-lined ground squirrel). Its description in RNAcentral is "lncRNA (ENSSTOG00000030169.1)". The record is from RNAcentral. Lineage: Eukaryota; Metazoa; Chordata; Mammalia; Rodentia; Sciuridae.
UUUUUAGUUUCAUCUUUCAAAUUUUGUAUAAAUUUUCUGAAUUGGCAGAACCUGAUUUAUAUCCAGAGUCCGAGCUAUAAGGGAGCAUGGGAAAUGUCCUCUCUGCCUUAACAUCAUUUCAACAGAGAAAGUUAGAAUCAAGAUUGAGGGGAGCAAUCAUAGGAUCCACCACGAGGAUUAUGCAUAAGGAUCACAGUGUGACUGCUCAUUUCCUUGGGGAAGAUGAAAUCUCCUCCCCUAUUCAAAGGCAGCUGAACCUAGUUGACAGACAUCGGUACCUUUGAUACCAUCUGGGUCAUUUUGUCUUAAAUAACAUCACAGAUGGGACAGUAACCGUCAGUCCAGUGGGGGCAACAGCCCAGCCAUCUCUUUCACCCUCUGUUCUCCAGUGAUGAAAUGUUAAGUCUGAGCAUCUUUUAUAGCUGUUCCCCCACUCUCUUCUUUGGUGUGUAAGGACUUGAAUAAUAACACACAGGCCUUCCAAGAAUCAGCAAGAGAGUCUCACACAGGGAAGAUAAAUUUACCAAUUAGAAUACAAUCUGUGGGGAUAAAGAUAUGUUAAAUGGCACAUGCAAUUCAUAUCACUUAAUGGAACACAACCUGCUCGACUGAAACAUUUUAUAUUUGAUUAUUUCAAUAUCUUUUCCAAGUUCAACGGAUGAGCUUAAAAGACAUCAGAAAAUUAAAAGGACCUUCAAGUGAUUUUUUUGCCCUAGAACAAAAUAAAAGUCAGUUGCUUCCUGAAAACACUUGAAGGGAUCGCAACUUGUGGUUGUUGCCAUUUUCUUUUCUUCUCAAUUUACCAAACUAGAGGCUCCGGGAGUCGCCCAUUAGCGCUUUUUUCUUUGGAGUUGCUGUGGAGUUUUAGCCCACAAGUGCAGACUCUCUUAAGAACCUUCAAGAACAAGAACAAGACGCAGAGUAAGGACGUGAGAGGUGCUUCUGCCCUCUUGAUUAUGUGCUUGCUUUGUUUGGGAGUGGGCAUCGCAAGGAUGCAAGGCUUUUUAAAGAAUUCAAUUAAUUAAGGUCGCACAAAAUGAUACGUGAAUUGUAUUCUCACUGUAAACAAUUCAAACUUCACAGAUCAAAAUAAAAUCAAAGAAGAGCCCAAAUCCUUAAUCACCCCCU